ACAAUUGUAGAUCUCCCAAAUCAAAGCCAAUUCUAAAAAUCUCUUCCUCUCUUUUGAAGGCAACUUGUCCAAGCGUCUCAGCCACUGCUCCCGUUUUCAUCGCCGGCAUCCUAGCAUCUUAGAUGGCGUUCUCGUCUCCAUAUUCCUUCCUCACCUACCACUGGGUUCACAAAGAUCCCGUCCUUUGGGGAUAUGGGUUUCAACAGUGGUGAUGCAUGUUUGUUGUCAAUCGUGUGAAGCAGACGAGUCGAGGUCAAAACGAAGUAGAUGAGUCGAGGUCGAAGCGAAACAGAUGAAUUAAGGUGAUGAGGUUGAAGUGAAGCAGACGAAUCCCAGGUCGAAGUAAAGCACGGUCUUAGCUAGUCCAGUGCUUUUCGGGGCUCUCGCUAAGACCUUCUAACGAAGGUUUUAGUCAGGGGCGAGUCCUUUUUAGUCCCACUAAACUUAGUUUUGCGGCACAACAAACACGAGACUACUUUAAUAAGUUGUCCAAUCCAAUUUAGUCCAAGUUAGCGAGGGUAAACAAACACGCCCUCAGUGUUUAACUAUUGGUUUCUCC
Molecule: long non-coding RNA, 559 nt
Filed under: Malus domestica (apple)
Lineage: Eukaryota; Viridiplantae; Streptophyta; Magnoliopsida; Rosales; Rosaceae
Description: long non-coding RNA (MDOM_LNC008135)
Source: RNAcentral